UUGAGCCGGAUGCGGUGAAAGUCGCACGUCCGGUUCUGAGGGGGCCGGGGAUCAGCAAUGGUCUCCGGCUACCCGAC
Molecule: non-coding RNA, 77 nt
Filed under: Streptomyces sp. PgraA7
Lineage: Bacteria; Bacillati; Actinomycetota; Actinomycetes; Kitasatosporales; Streptomycetaceae
Source: RNAcentral